CCUUUCUGGAUGUCCGUUUGAGCUCAAAUUUUACAGUCAGGCUCGGUUUUAUUUAACUUAACGAAAGAAAUUUUAAUCUUUCAGUUUCGUCACCGAAAGCUCUACCGAGCUGUAAUCUCUAGCAGAUAGCAGUCGGAUUUUAUUUUCUACCUUCUGGGUGUCAGAAUGACAUAAAACUUUAAAUCUAGCCCCAUAAAAAUAAUUCUGACAUAUUCUCCAGUUUUCAUAAUUUUCUGACACUGCAUUUUCUGCUAAUUUAUCUGCCUCGUUUCUCACAGAAAAUUUUAAAUCUUCUGUUUUCGUUCCGAUUUCAGCACAGGUCAUUUCCAACUUAUAUUUCACUUCUCUAAAUCCAAUAAAAAUAGUAUCUCAUACUAUUUUUAUUUAUUUCUAUUUUUUUUCUAUAUUAAAAUCUGGUAUGUUACAUAUAUAAUGCUCAAGUCUUUUACUAGAAUGGUAUAAAUCAUUUCUUAUACAUUCUUUCUAUCUAAAUUCAAUUUUUGUAUAGCCUGCAUUAAAACAUAUGGAUCGAAGUUAUAGGAGAAGAAUGCA
This 552-nucleotide long non-coding RNA is filed under the name Ananas comosus (pineapple). RNAcentral describes it as "long non-coding RNA (ACOM_LNC037576)". Lineage: Eukaryota; Viridiplantae; Streptophyta; Magnoliopsida; Poales; Bromeliaceae. The record is from RNAcentral.